This is a long non-coding RNA of Panicum virgatum (switchgrass), 679 nucleotides long. RefSeq lists it as uncharacterized. The record is from RefSeq and is a predicted model, not a curated record. The transcript has 2 exons. Lineage: Eukaryota; Viridiplantae; Streptophyta; Magnoliopsida; Poales; Poaceae.
GCCUUGGAGUUCAUCUAGAAAUCAAAAUUUUAAUAGCACGAUAGUUUCUAUACAAUCUGAAUUUUUUUCCUUUUGCGGGUACUUGAACAAUGGCUGAUGACUUACCUUCAUCGAACUCCUCGAAAUCUACAGGUGCAUCACUCAUAUCCAUAGGAUGAGCAGUGAAGGUGUUUAUCCCCUGAUCUUCUUCUGUGAUGAAAGGUUCAACAUUGAGAUCAAAAUGUUGAAGACAUUGGCCACCACUGCCAUGGGCAUCAGCUUCUUGGACAACAAUGGAUGGAUCUUCUUCCUCGCCUACAAUUUCGUUGUUGCCUCCAUGGUUGAUGGCGUCUUGUUCCCCACUUGCUGCAGAUUCUUCUCCGCCUACAACUUCAUUCAGGUCAGGUAUUGCCUCUCUAUCUCCCUCCGGAAGCAAGUUUAGAUCUAUAGCCAUGAAUGAAGUGUUUGGGAUGGAUUGUGUUGUGGAUUGCAGGCUAAUGAAAAGACGUGCACAGGUGACGGCGGCGUGUGGCUGCCUCUCGAGAUUUGAUAGAGAAUGUGAUUUGUUUUGGCAGGUCGUUUGUUUAAUCCUUUUUGUACUAUUAUGGGCACACCUUUUGGCGCCAGAAGCAAAAUUUUCAUCACUCACAAUUCUGUAUGGGAAUGAUGUGACUGGUUAAAAAAAUUACCUUUUGUUUUA